GCAUCGGUGGUUCAGUGGUAGAAUGCUCGCCUGCCACGCCGGUUCGAUUCCCGACCGAUGCA
Molecule: transfer RNA, 62 nt
Filed under: Cordylochernes scorpioides
Lineage: Eukaryota; Metazoa; Arthropoda; Arachnida; Pseudoscorpiones; Chernetidae
Description: tRNA-Ser
Rfam family: tRNA
About the family: Transfer RNA (tRNA) molecules are approximately 80 nucleotides in length. Their secondary structure includes four short double-helical elements and three loops (D, anti-codon, and T loops). Further hydrogen bonds mediate the characteristic L-shaped molecular structure. tRNAs have two regions of fundamental functional importance: the anti-codon, which is responsible for specific mRNA codon recognition, and the 3' end, to which the tRNAs corresponding amino acid is attached (by aminoacyl-tRNA synthetases). tRNAs cope with the degeneracy of the genetic code in two manners: having more than one tRNA (with a specific anti-codon) for a particular amino acid; and 'wobble' base-pairing, i.e. permitting non-standard base-pairing at the 3rd anti-codon position.
Source: RNAcentral